Molecule: long non-coding RNA, 917 nt
Filed under: Glycine max (soybean)
Lineage: Eukaryota; Viridiplantae; Streptophyta; Magnoliopsida; Fabales; Fabaceae
Description: long non-coding RNA (GMAX_LNC003819)
Source: RNAcentral
UCUGAGCCGCAUCACUAGCAUAUUCAGAAGCCUCUUUGCUUUUCUGAGCAGCAUCACCAACAUAGUCUUUGGUCUUCUGAGCCGUCUCACUGGCAUAAUCAGAAGCUUCUUUGCUCUUGUGAGAAGCAUCACCAGCAUAAUCUUUGCUCUUGUGCGCUGCAUCAUUUGCAUAAUCUUUGAUAUUCUGUACAGCAUCACCCGCAUAAUCUUUGCUCUUUUGAGCAUAAUCUUUGGCAUUCUGUGCUACAUCACCCGCAUAUUCUUUGCUCUUUUGAGCACCAUCACUUGCAUGGUCCUUGGUCCUCUGCGCAGCAUCACUUGCAUAGUCCUUGGUCUUCUGCGCAGCACCACUGGCAUAGUCCUUGGUCUUCUGCGCACCACCACUGGCAUAGUCCUUGGUCUUCUGCGCAGCAUAAUCCUUAGUCUUUUUUGCAGCAUCAGUUGCAUCACUUGCAUAAUCCUUGGUCUUCUGAGCAGCAUAAUCUUUAGUCUUUUUUGCAGCAUCAGUUGCAUCACUUGCAUAGUCCUUAGUCUUCUGAGUAGCAUAAUCUUUGGUCUUCUGUGCUGCAUCAGUGGCAUAAUCCAUGGUCUUCUGAGCAGCAUCACCAACAUAUUCUUUGGUCUUUUGUGCAGCAUCACCGACAUAGCCCUUUGAUUUCUGAGCAGCAUCACCGGCAUAGUCCUUUGAUGUCUGUGCAGUGUCACCGGCAUAGUCCUUGGUUUUCUGAGCAGUGUCACCGGCAUAGUCCUUGGUUUUCUGAGCAGUGUCACCGGCAUAGUCCUUUGAUUUCUGAGCAGCAUCACCGGCAUAGUCAGAGACUUUCUUAGUGGUGGAUUCUUGAUCAUGUUUGAAGCCAAGACCUUCAGUGAGUUUCUCUUUAGCCCAUUCUGUCCAUGACUCUGCGGCUUCUUUCCCA